Molecule: ribosomal RNA, 441 nt
Filed under: uncultured bacterium
Lineage: Bacteria
Description: partial 16S ribosomal RNA
Rfam family: Bacterial small subunit ribosomal RNA
Source: RNAcentral
CCUACGGGUGGUAGCAGUGGGGAAUAUUGCACAAUGGGGGAAACCCUGAUGCAGCGACGCCGCGUGAGUGAAGAAGUAUUUCGGUAUGUAAAGCUCUAUCAGCAGGAACGAGACAAGACGGUACCUGACUAAGAAGCCCCGGCUAACUACGUGCCAGCAGCCGCGGUAAUACGUAGGGGGCAAGCGUUAUCCGGAAUCACUGGGUGUAAAGGGAGCGUAGACGGCUGUGCAAGCCUGAAGUGAAAGGCGGGGGCCCAACCCCUGGACUGCUUUGGGAACUGUACGGCUGGAGUGCAGGAGAGGUAAGUGGAAUUCCUAGUGUAGCGGUGAAAUGCUUAGAUAUCACGAAGAACUCCGAUUGCGAAGGCAGCUUACUAAACUGCCACUGACAUUGAUGCUCGAAAGUGUGGGUAUCAAACAGGAUUAGAUACCCCAGUAGUC